AAUUGAAUUAGAAUUACAUGUGAUAGCAUAAUAAAUAUACACUAAUUUAUAAGUCCUGUGUUUUAUUACAGUAUUUAUUUAGAAGACUUUUUACUUUUGGCAAUAGCCUUUAAAAAUAUUUUACCAAAUUGCACUUUGAUUUCAACUCUUCAAAUUUAUCAAUUGGUAAAACAGUUAAGCUCAUUGCUAAGGAACGGUUGUUAGUUUGAAGCAAAAGUGGUGAAUUAAGAAUAACAGUUACAAUUCCUUAUCUGUCAUUCAAAUUUUCAAGAUUUAUGUUUUCAAACAUGUAUUAAUUUAUGAAGUCAAAUAGAGGUAUUUUAAAGGUAGUAAUUUUCCACUUGCUAUAUAAUUGUCAAGUCUUAAAUUUUCACAUUUUUCCUUUUAAAAUGUUUUCUAUAUUCCUAUGAAACAGACAUUAAGCUUUUUUAAAACAUGUAAUAUACAUGUGUCAUAAGUAAAAAUGUGUUGUCAAUAAAAUUCAAUGGAAGAUAACCUGAUAUCUAUGAAUUAUUUAUUUUCACCCAAAUAAGUGAUUGGACUCUUAAUCUCCCUUUAAUACUUCAAAAAAACAUAUUCUAGAAACAUAAUAUGAUUCUUUGAAGGGUUUAAAUAUUAAUUGAAACACAACUCACAUUUUAAAAGUGAUAUUUGAAAAUUUAAAACUGGACAUUAUUACAGCAAUUACUAAAUUACUAUAUUACCUUUUAUAAGAUUUUACAAUUGAUAUACAUUUUUAGAAAAACAUCAAUAAGGUAAUAAUGAAAGAUGAAGUAUUGACCUUAUUUAGGUGUGAUAGAGAAUAAAGAUCAAAUUUAGGUUUGACAGUACAUUUUUUAAAACACUGCACUUGCUUCAAAACCUACAACUGGAAUUUUAUGUGACUGUCAUACAAGGAAAAGGUUUAGCUAGCUAUAAACCCAGAUUUAAUCAACCAUUUUCUACAUAUGAUUAUGCCUGUACCAAGUCAGGAAUAUGACAGUUAUUAUCCAUUUGUUUGAUGUGUUUGAGCUUUUGAUUUUGUCAUCAGGGACUUUCCGUUUGAAUUUUCCUCAGAGUUAAGUAUUUUUCAUAUUUUACUUUUUUCUACCUAUAAGCUAUCCUAUUUUACCAGUUAAUCAGUUGGAAAGAUGAAUUCAAACUGCAAUUUUGGUAAAACUGCUGACAAUCAAUAUUAUGGAAGGAUAAGCACUGUAACUGAUGUAAAAAGCAUCCUUCCUGAAAUGUUUAAAUGGUACAUAUCAAUUGCAAUGUUUUGUUUUGGGUAUCGAAAUUUUCAUUCAUUUUUAGAAUUACAUAAAAUUGAAACAAGAUGAAUAUAU
This 1322-nucleotide long non-coding RNA is filed under the name Mytilus galloprovincialis (Mediterranean mussel). The record is from RNAcentral. Lineage: Eukaryota; Metazoa; Mollusca; Bivalvia; Mytilida; Mytilidae.